RNAcentral lists this ribosomal RNA (112 nucleotides) under Periophthalmus magnuspinnatus. Lineage: Eukaryota; Metazoa; Chordata; Actinopteri; Gobiiformes; Gobiidae. The record is from RNAcentral.
GAGAUAAAUCAUACUGGUUCGUCAAAGCCUGAUCUCGUUAGAUCUCAGAAGCGAAGCAGGGCAGGGUCUGGGUAGUACUUGGAGGGGAGAUGGCUGAGAAUAUGAGGUCCCA